This 105-nucleotide microRNA precursor is filed under the name Brassica napus (rape). RNAcentral's name for it is "pre miRNA MIR1446". Lineage: Eukaryota; Viridiplantae; Streptophyta; Magnoliopsida; Brassicales; Brassicaceae. The record is from RNAcentral.
CUAUUUCCUCGGAAUUUCCUCGGAAUAUUCCGAGGAAAUUCCGAGGAAACCCUUAUCUUCCUCGGAAUUCCGUCGGAAUAUUCCGAGGGAAUUCCGAGGAACUAG